CCUACGGGGGGCAGCAGUGGGGGAUAUUGCACAAUGGGGGAAACCCUGAUGCAGCGACGCCGCGUGGGUGAAGAAGCGCCUCGGCGCGUAAAGCCCUGUCAGCAGGGAAGAAAAUGACGGUACCUGAAGAAGAAGCCCCGGCUAACUACGUGCCAGGAGCCGAGGUAAUUCGUAGGGGGCAAGCGUUAUCCGGAUUUACUGGGUGUAAAGGGGGCGCAGACGGCGAUGCAAGCCAGGAGUGAAAGCCCGGGGCCCAACCCCGGGACUGCUGUUGGAACUGCGUGGCUAGAGUGCAGGAGGGGCAGGCGGAAUGCCUGGUGUAGCGGUGAAAUGCGUAGAUAUCAGGAGGAACACCGGUGGCGAAGGCGGCCUGCUGGACUGCAACUGACGUUGAGGCCCGAAAGCGUGGGGAGCAAACAGGAUUAGAUACCCGAGUAGUC
Molecule: ribosomal RNA, 440 nt
Filed under: uncultured bacterium
Lineage: Bacteria
Description: partial 16S ribosomal RNA
Rfam family: Bacterial small subunit ribosomal RNA
Source: RNAcentral